RNAcentral lists this long non-coding RNA (233 nucleotides) under Gossypium raimondii (Peruvian cotton). Its description in RNAcentral is "long non-coding RNA (GRAI_LNC003614)". Lineage: Eukaryota; Viridiplantae; Streptophyta; Magnoliopsida; Malvales; Malvaceae. The record is from RNAcentral.
AUCCCGCUUAGAGAUCGCAACUAUAGUGGAGAGAAAAUAAGUAUCAGUAGGCACUAAAGGGGAAUCUUAGAGACGGAAUUCAAAUAUAAGAAUAGAGGAGUACGUGGGGGUGAAGUAAAGAUAACUCUAGCAAUAUAGACCGGGCCUGCUUCCCAUUCAUUCUUUUAUAAGAAUGCUUUUUGGCUGGUCAAUAGGGCGCAUCGCUUUUGCUUCUGUAAUAGAGGCGCUGUAAU